AAAAAGGCCGAGGCCAAAAAGCAUAAAACAAAACUCCUAAACAAUAAUCAAAAUACCUAACAAACCCUAAAAAUCAACAGCCAGUCUUCAUUCAUUUGACGAAUCCAUUUCUUUUUUCACAUUUUCUGCAUUUCAUUUCUAGAGAGAUUCGUUUAACAAACCAAGAAAACAAUGACUCAGAUAUCCCUUCAGAGAGAGAAUUUAUUCCCAAAAUAGUUACUCUGGUGUGUGAGCAAAUUAAGUCAGAUACCGUUAUUGUCAAAACAUUUCUUUUCCCCAAUCUUCAAAUGACUCAAUAUAGGCAUUCCCAUUUUACCAUUUUCUUGUCAUAUCAUCGAUGGUUCCUUAUCCCCAACUGGAACUCGUCGAUUAUGUUUUCCUUCCAUGGCUUUAUAUUCCUCGACAGCCUGGGUAACAGAUCUAGGGAGGCCAUUUCUCAGAUAAGUAUCUUCUUUCAUAUUGAUUCCUUCCUCUGCUAAUAGAUGUGCCACUUUGUUCAUUUGUCUCAUUGCAUGUCUAAAUCUACAUGAGAUAAAGUAAUUUUUUAAUCAUUUAGCAUCAAUAAUGUAAGCCCUAAUUUCUAAUCUAUCUUCUUCUUCGCUUUUAAUCUUCUUAAUGACGGACAUAACAUUGCCUUUAAUGUCACUUCUUAAGAAGCCUAAUUCAGCCCAGAACUGGAUCGCUUGGACACAACCGAGAACCUCUACCGCAAACUUUGAAGGAAUGUGUCUGUUAAAAUGGACUUUUAUUUUUAAGACUUGCCCACUUAAGUUUCUAAUCACAAUUCCAGUGCAUGAUUUCUUUUGUUGUUUCUCAUAUGCAGCGUCAAAGUUGAUUUUAACAUAAUUCUCCUCAAGAGGUCUCCAGUUUUCCGUCAUCAGUUUGUUAACAGGUAACUGCUUACAUAUUCCAUCCAACUCUCACAAGUAGAUAAGAAUGAAUUGAGUCAAUUUAUCACUUUUUUGCAUCUGUUUUUUAUGAACCCAUUUAUUUCUGGCUGUCCACACAGCCCAUAUAGCACACAUAAUAGUUCUAAUUUUAUGGGCUCACUCAUUUUCGAGAAGAACCUGGAUCCAAUCCUUAAACUGGAAUUGAUCUUGCUCCAGGGUCCACCCAAUCCCUAAUUUGGCCCAAAUAUCGUGUACCAGAGGGCAGUCUCUAAACACAUGUUCUACCGUUUCUUCACUUUACGAGUAUCUUGGACAGAUUACGAAGCUUACCAGCUUUCGUCGAAAAAGAUUAGUUUGAGUAGGAAGGAAAUUAUUUAGAGUUUUUCAUACUAAUAUUUUAAUCUUCAAUGGCAUAUCCACAAGCCAAAAUUUCUUGUACAUAGAUUUGUAUUGGCUUUGCAAGGUCUGUAAAUUAAUGUCCCAAUCAUUUUGUAACUGCUGCGUACUAUGUAAGUCCCCGAAGCUUUUGCUCUCCACACCAUGCUAUUUGUUUCUUUUUCAAUUGAGAGAGGAACACACAAAAUCUUCUCAGCCUCAUCAUGGUGAAAGGUAUUUCUAAUUAACUCCUCUUUUCAUUUAUUUUCAUAUUGUUCAAUUAACUCAGAAAGGUAUACUAAAUUUGGG
This 1574-nucleotide long non-coding RNA is filed under the name Gossypium barbadense (sea-island cotton). RNAcentral describes it as "long non-coding RNA (GBAR_LNC008952)". Lineage: Eukaryota; Viridiplantae; Streptophyta; Magnoliopsida; Malvales; Malvaceae. The record is from RNAcentral.